AAGAGUUAGGUAAAUCCGGCUCUUUUUAAGGCUGAGACACGACGUCGAGCAUCUACGGAUGUGAAGUCAUUGAUGCCAUGCUUCCAGGAAAAGCCUCUAAGCUUCAGAUUGUAAGGAAUCGUACCCCAAACCGACACAGGUGGUCGGGUAGAGAAUACCAAGGCGCUUGAGAGAACUCGGGUGAAGGAACUAGGCAAAAUGGUACCGUAACUUCGGGAGAAGGUACGCUCUUGAUGGUGAAGUCCCUUGCG
Molecule: ribosomal RNA, 251 nt
Filed under: Vibrio parahaemolyticus
Lineage: Bacteria; Pseudomonadati; Pseudomonadota; Gammaproteobacteria; Vibrionales; Vibrionaceae
Description: partial 23S ribosomal RNA
Rfam family: Bacterial large subunit ribosomal RNA
Source: RNAcentral